UUGGGAGCUCUCCCAUAUGGUCGACCUGCAGGCGGCCGCGAAUUCACUAGUGAUUCGUAUUACCGCGGCUGCUGGCACGAAGUUAGCCGGGGCUUAUUCUGCGGGUACCGUCAUCAUCGUCCCCGCCAAAAGAGCUUUACAACCCGAAGGCCUUCAUCACUCACGCGGCAUGGCUGGAUCAGGGUUGCCCCCAUUGUCCAAUAUUCCCCACUGCUGCCUCCCGUAGGAGUCUGGGCCGUGUCUCAGUCCCAGUGUGUCCGUCCACCCUCUCAGGCCGGAUACUGAUCGAUGCCUUGGUGAGCCGUUACCUCACCAACUAGCUAAUCGGACGCGGACUCAUCUUUUGGCGAUAAAUCUUUAUCCCGUAGGAACCAUUCGGUAUUAGCCCUAGUUUCCCAAGGUUAUCCCGAACCAAAAGGCAGAUAUCCACGCGUUACUCACCCGUGCGCCACUAAUGUAUUGCUACAUUCGUUCGACUUGCAUGUGUUAAGCCUGCCGCCAGCGUUCGUUCUGAGCCAGGAUCAAACUCUAAUCGAAUUCCCGCGGCCGCCAUGGCGGCCGGGAGCAUGCG
RNAcentral lists this ribosomal RNA (571 nucleotides) under uncultured Alphaproteobacteria bacterium. Its description in RNAcentral is "partial 16S ribosomal RNA". Lineage: Bacteria; Pseudomonadati; Pseudomonadota; Alphaproteobacteria. The record is from RNAcentral.